This 372-nucleotide ribosomal RNA is filed under the name Lactiplantibacillus plantarum. RNAcentral's name for it is "bacterial SSU rRNA". It matches the Rfam family "Bacterial small subunit ribosomal RNA", at positions 1 to 343 of the family's 1533-position model. Lineage: Bacteria; Bacillati; Bacillota; Bacilli; Lactobacillales; Lactobacillaceae. The record is from RNAcentral.
AUUAAUUUGAGAGUUUGAUCCUGGCUCAGGACGAACGCUGGCGGCGUGCCUAAUACAUGCAAGUCGAACGAACUCUGGUAUUGAUUGGUGCUUGCAUCAUGAUUUACAUUUGAGUGAGUGGCGAACUGGUGAGUAACACGUGGGAAACCUGCCCAGAAGCGGGGGAUAACACCUGGAAACAGAUGCUAAUACCGCAUAACAACUUGGACCGCAUGGUCCGAGUUUGAAAGAUGGCUUCGGCUAUCACUUUUGGAUGGUCCCGCGGCGUAUUAGCUAGAUGGUGGGGUAACGGCUCACCAUGGCAAUGAUACGUAGCCGACCUGAGAGGGUAAUCGGCCACAUUGGGACUGAGACACGGCCCAAACUCCUACG